GUGGGUAGUUUGACUGGGGCGGUCUCCUCCUAAAGAGUAACGGAGGAGCACGAAGGUUGGCUAAUCCUGGUCGGACAUCAGGAGGUUAGUGCAAUGGCAUAAGCCAGCUUGACUGCGAGCGUGACGGCGCGAGCAGGUGCGAAAGCAGGUCAUAGUGAUCCGGUGGUUCUGAAUGGAAGGGCCAUCGCUCAACGGAUAAAAGGUACUCCGGGGAUAACAGGCUGAUACCGCCCAAGAGUUCAUAUCGACGGCGGUGUUUGGCACCUCGAUGUCGGCUCAUCACAUCCUGGGGCUGAAGUAGGUCCCAAGGGUAUGGCUGUUCGCCAUUUAAAGUGGUACGCGAGCUGGGUUUAGAACGUCGUGAGACAGUUCGGUCCCUAUCUGCCGUGGGCGCUGGAGAACUGAGGGGGGCUGCUCCUAGUACGAGAGGACCGGAGUGGACGCAUCACUGGUGUUCGGGUUGUCAUGCCAAUGGCACUGCCCGGUAGCUAAAUGCGGAAGAGAUAAGUGCUGAAAGCAUCUAAGCACGAAACUUGCCCCGAGAUGAGUUCUCCCUGAGACUUUAGGUCUCCUGAAGGAACGUUGAAGACGACGACGUUGAUAGGCCGGGUGUGUAAG
This 618-nucleotide ribosomal RNA is filed under the name Salmonella enterica. Its description in RNAcentral is "partial 23S ribosomal RNA". It matches the Rfam family "Bacterial large subunit ribosomal RNA", at positions 2261 to 2873 of the family's 2925-position model. RNAcentral also lists the same sequence under 2 other names. Lineage: Bacteria; Pseudomonadati; Pseudomonadota; Gammaproteobacteria; Enterobacterales; Enterobacteriaceae. The record is from RNAcentral.